CGGCAGGCCUAACACAUGCAAGUCGAACGGUAACAGGAAGCAGCUUGCUGUUUCGCUGACGAGUGGCGGACGGGUGAGUAAUGUCUGGGAAACUGCCUGAUGGAGGGGGAUAACUACUGGAAACGGUAGCUAAUACCGCAUAACGUCGCAAGACCAAAGAGGGGGACCUUCGGGCCUCUUGCCAUCGGAUGUGCCCAGAUGGGAUUAGCUAGUAGGUGGGGUAACGGCUCACCUAGGCGACGAUCCCUAGCUGGUCUGAGAGGAUGACCAGCCACACUGGAACUGAGACACGGUCCAGACUCCUACGGGAGGCAGCAGUGGGGAAUAUUGCACAAUGGGCGCAAGCCUGAUGCAGCCAUGCCGCGUGUAUGAAGAAGGCCUUCGGGUUGUAAAGUACUUUCAGCGGGGAGGAAGGGAGUAAAGUUAAUACCU
Molecule: ribosomal RNA, 432 nt
Filed under: Shigella flexneri
Lineage: Bacteria; Pseudomonadati; Pseudomonadota; Gammaproteobacteria; Enterobacterales; Enterobacteriaceae
Description: bacterial SSU rRNA
Rfam family: Bacterial small subunit ribosomal RNA
Source: RNAcentral